UAGUAACAGAGUUUGACCUCCGGUCAUCGAAUUUCGAACGCCAGCGUGGAGCGCUUUACAUGAAAAGUAGUCAAACUGCGCACGGACUCCCAGCCCUGGUGGAAGAUAGCAGCAGUUCUGGGUAUGGUCGUAUCGAACGCCCGGUAGGUGGGGAUAACUACGCGAAAGUUAUAGCUAAUACCGCAUAAUGGUUCUCUGAAAGCGGGGAUCUUCUGGGCCUCGCACUGAAGGAGCUACGAUAUCGGAUUAGCUAGUUGGUGGGGUAACGGCUCACCAAGGCGACGAUCCGUAGCUGGUCGGAGAUAUAUCGAUCAGCCACACUGGACCAGGACAUGUCUGGGGACUCCUGCGCUGGAGUAGUGGUGGGGAAUUUUUGAUGGCCGGGGAAACUCCUGAUCAGCCAUCCGGGCAAAAGUAUGAAGGCCUUCGGGUUGUAAAGCACUCCUGCAGGAAAGAAACGGUACGGGAUAAUACCCGUGUAACUGACGGUACCUGCAGAAUAAGCACCGGCUGUAACUACGUGCCAGCAGCCGCGGCAUAGCUGUAGGUAAGACCGGAAUUACUAAGGGAAGCGUGCGCAGGCGGUCUGGAAAGAAAGAUGAAAUCCCAGAGCUAACUUUGGAACUGCAUUUUUAAUCACUGAGCUAGAGUGUGUCGAGGGGAGGUGGAAUUCUGCGGCAGUGAAAUGCGUAGAUAUGCGGAGGAACACCGAUGGCGAAGGCAGCCUCCUGGGGAUAACACUGACGCCUGGCACGAAAGCGCGGGGAGCAAACAGGAUUAGAUACCCGGUAGUCCACGUCCAAACGAUGUCAACUAGCUGUUAGCCUUUCGGCCUUGGUAGCGCAGCGACCGCGGAAGACCGUCAGGCGAAGCAGCCGUGACGGUGUUCCAAAGAAUUGAUUGGGACUCCGCGCCGGCGGUGGACGAUGUGAGAUUGUCUGAUGCAAACGCGAAAACCUCUACCGGCCUUGACAUGUCUGGAAUCCCGAAGAGAUUUGGGAGGCGUUCGCAAGAGAACCGGAACACAGGUGCUGCAUGGCUGUCGUCAGCUCGUGUCGAGAUGUUGGGUUAAGUCCCUACAACGAGCGGCGUAAACUUUGGUUGGUUAGUUGCUACGAAAAGCAGCAACCCUGACGAGACUGCUGGCAGCCAAACCGGAGAAGGUGGUGGAUAUGCCGUCCUCGCAUGGCCCUAUGGUAGGGUAGGGCUUCGGCACGGUCAUACAAUGCAGCCGGGAUGGAGGGUCGCCAACCCGCGAGGGGGAGCCAAUCCCCAGAAACCCGAUCGUAGUCCGGAUCGCAGCCUGCAACCGACUGCGUGAAGUCAGAACCUGCUGGGGCAUCGCGGACUGUGCGGCUGCCGCAAAGAACAUGGGUUCCCGGCCUGCAGCACACGCCGUCACACCAUGGGAGUGGGUUUUACCAGAAGUAGUUAGCCUAACCGUAAGGAGGGCGAUUACCACGGUAGGAUUCAUGACGGGGUGAAGUCGUAACAAGGU
This 1498-nucleotide ribosomal RNA is filed under the name uncultured Bordetella sp. Its description in RNAcentral is "partial 16S-23S ribosomal RNA intergenic spacer". It matches the Rfam family "Bacterial small subunit ribosomal RNA". The record is from RNAcentral. Lineage: Bacteria; Pseudomonadati; Pseudomonadota; Betaproteobacteria; Burkholderiales; Alcaligenaceae.